This 445-nucleotide ribosomal RNA is filed under the name uncultured bacterium. RNAcentral describes it as "bacterial SSU rRNA". It matches the Rfam family "Bacterial small subunit ribosomal RNA", at positions 354 to 796 of the family's 1533-position model. The record is from RNAcentral.
GUGGGGAAUUUUGGACAAUGGGCGCAAGCCUGAUCCAGCCAUGCCGCGUGCAGGAAGAAGGCGCUACGCGUUGUAAACUGCUUUUAACCGGGAAGAAACCCCAGGACGUGUCCUGGGUUGACGGUACCGGAGGAAUAAGCACCGGCUAACUUCGUGCCAGCAGCCGCGGUAAUACGAAGGGUGCAAGCGUUAUCCGGAUUCAUUGGGUUUAAAGGGUGCGUAGGCGGCGCGUUAAGUCAGUGGUGAAAUCCUGCAGCUUAACUGUGGACUUGCCAUUGAUACUGGCGCUCUUGAGUGCGCUUGAAGUGGGCGGAAUGUGCCGUGUAGCGGUGAAAUGCUUAGAUAUGGCACAGAACACCAAUUGCGAAGGCAGCUCACUAAGGCGAUACUGACGCUGAGGCACGAAAGCGUGGGGAUCGAACAGGAUUAGAUACCCGGGUAGUCC